Drosophila mojavensis is the source of this 808-nucleotide long non-coding RNA. RefSeq lists it as uncharacterized. The transcript is spliced from 2 exons. NCBI's taxonomy places the organism in Eukaryota, Metazoa, Arthropoda, Insecta, Diptera, Drosophilidae. The record is from RefSeq and is a predicted model, not a curated record.
UAAGUCAGUCAACUUCCUGCCUAUGGCUGAUAUAAUGGUCUUUGCAUAAGCCGUCAGGGCCUUAACUCACACUCAAUUAAAUCAACUUAUUUUUGGUCAAAUAAUUUUACAUAAUACGAAAAACGAACGCUGAAGCUCAUUAAUUUAACUUAAGAGUUCAAGGCGGUGGCGGCAGCAGCAGCAGCAGGAGCAGAAGCAGAAUCUGCGGGCAGUAGCCGAAGUGAGUGGGUGGGGGAAAAAGUCGAGGGUAAGGCCAGGUAAGGGAUACGCACAACAGCGAGAAGUACACAAAAAGUAGCACAAAAGCGGAUUUUCAUUCAAGUUACGCCCAGUUUGUGCCACCCACGAAAGGGGGCGGGGCACAACGGAGUUGGCAUAAUGAUUCUACCGAAAAUUUUCCCUUGGCCUGCAAUGGGAAGGCGCUUGGCUGGCUGGCUGACUGGCUGGCAGUUUGGCCCAAAGGAAAAACAACAAUCCCGGCCUGCUGGCAAACGACGUCGAUGUCGAACCAAAUGAAAAUGUCGAGACAGGGCUCAAGUUGGAGGAACAUCAUUAGAAGCAGCUGAACGCCAGGCGCGGCAGCUGCGGGACGGGCUGAGUGCCAUGACCAUGCUAAUUGUAUGGCAACUGGGAAUUGCGAGAGAUAAAGACAGAUGAAGAGGGAGUGGGAGUGGCUCCAACCAACCUACCGCCCGCCCACCUGACUGACUGACUGCGUGUUUGUCUACCCCUAACACAACUCAGCUGCCAAUUCAAUUUUGUAAUCAGAGUGGCAUGAAAAAUUAAAUAAAACAUGCAAAUAAAAUUA